Molecule: ribosomal RNA, 843 nt
Filed under: Colletotrichum abscissum
Lineage: Eukaryota; Fungi; Ascomycota; Sordariomycetes; Glomerellales; Glomerellaceae
Description: eukaryotic LSU rRNA
Rfam family: Eukaryotic large subunit ribosomal RNA
Source: RNAcentral
UCAAUAAGCGGAGGAAAAGAAACCAACAGGGAUUGCCCCAGUAACGGCGAGUGAAGCGGCAACAGCUCAAAUUUGAAAUCUGGCCCCAGGCCCGAGUUGUAAUUUGCAGAGGAUGCUUUUGGCGCGGUGCCUUCCGAGUUCCCUGGAACGGGACGCCAUAGAGGGUGAGAGCCCCGUACGGUUGGACACCAAGCCUUUGUAAAGCUCCUUCGACGAGUCGAGUAGUUUGGGAAUGCUGCUCUAAAUGGGAGGUACAUUUCUUCUAAAGCUAAAUAUUGGCCAGAGACCGAUAGCGCACAAGUAGAGUGAUCGAAAGAUGAAAAGCACUUUGAAAAGAGGGUUAAACAGCACGUGAAAUUGUUAAAAGGGAAGCGCUUGUGACCAGACUUGCGUCCGGUGAAUCACCCAGCUCUCGCGGCUGGGGCACUUCGCCGGCACAGGCCAGCAUCAGCUUGCCGUCGGGGACAAAAGCUUCAGGAACGUGGCUCCUCUCGGGGAGUGUUAUAGCCUGUUGCAUAAUACCCUUCGGCGGGCUGAGGUACGCGCUCCGCAAGGAUGCUGGCGUAAUGGUCAUCAGCGACCCGUCUUGAAACACGGACCAAGGAGUCAACCUUAUGUGCGAGUGUUUGGGUGUUAAACCCCUACGCGUAAUGAAAGUGAACGCAGGUGAGAGCUUCGGCGCAUCAUCGACCGAUCCUGAUGUUCUCGGAUGGAUUUGAGUAAGAGCAUAUAGGGUUGGACCCGAAAGAAGGUGAACUAUGCGUGUGUAGGGUGAAGCCAGAGGAAACUCUGGUGGAGGCUCGCAGCGGUUCUGACGUGCAAAUCGAUCGUCAAACAUGCGCA